GGCCUCUCCGCCGCCGAUGCUCUUCGGUGUGGCCUCGCCCUCAUCUCCACUACUGGGGUUUGCUGUCGCGAAGCUGGUAGGAUGGCAGUGUCCUGCUACCCUGGCAUCCUCCGAUGCGCUGCUGUGCUGAAUUACUGGUAGGGUGUGGUUGUGGUGGUGAGGAUGGAAUGGUGGUGCUGGUUCUGGUGCUGGUGGUGUUGCUGUGACGCCUUCCUCGACUCCGACCUUGACACCGACGGGACGGUGCCGCGGACACAACCUCGGCGUCGACUACACCGUUUCGCCUGCCUCCUCUACAGAGCACUGUGAUCAAGUUAAACAAGAUGGUCUAGGAACGUGGACGAAGGUUAUGAGCUUCAAGAUUUAAUUGUAGAAUUAUUUCCCUUUUUCUUGUGUUUUGGAUUUGUAAUUUAUAUUCCUUUUUUCUAUGUUAUUAUUUAAGACUUGUGAAUAUUUAUACCUUAUAUAUAAUUAAGAAUUCCAUUCUUUA
Lolium rigidum is the source of this 490-nucleotide long non-coding RNA. RefSeq lists it as uncharacterized. NCBI's taxonomy places the organism in Eukaryota, Viridiplantae, Streptophyta, Magnoliopsida, Poales, Poaceae. The record is from RefSeq and is a predicted model, not a curated record. The transcript is spliced from 2 exons.